RNAcentral lists this ribosomal RNA (254 nucleotides) under uncultured prokaryote. RNAcentral's name for it is "partial 16S ribosomal RNA". It matches the Rfam family "Bacterial small subunit ribosomal RNA", at positions 524 to 776 of the family's 1533-position model. The record is from RNAcentral.
UACGAAGGGUGCGAGCGUUGUUCGGAAUUAUUGGGCGUAAAGCGCACGUAGGCGGCGUGGUCAGUCUCGCUGUGAAAGCCCGGGGCUCAACCCCGGGAGGCCAGGGGAUACUGCCAUGCUGGAGACAAGCAGAGGUGGGUAGAAUUCCGGGUGUAGCGGUGGAAUGCGUAGAGAUCCGGAGGAAUACCAGAGGCGAAGGCGGCCCACUGGGCUUGAUCUGACGCUGAGGUGCGAAAGCGUGGGGAGCGAACAGG